UACGUAGGGUGCGAGCGUUAAUCGGAAUUACUGGGCGUAAAGCGUGCGCAGGCGGUUGUGUAAGACAGGUGUGAAAUCCCCGGGCUUAACCUGGGAAUUGCAUUUGUGACUGCACGGCUAGAGUUUGGCAGAGGGGGGUAGAAUUCCACGUGUAGCAGUGAAAUGCGUAGAUAUUGGGAGGAACACCAGUGGCGAAGGCGGCUCACUGGACCGGUACUGACGCUGAUGCGCGAAAGCGUGGGGAGCAAACGGG
This 253-nucleotide ribosomal RNA is filed under the name uncultured bacterium. RNAcentral describes it as "partial 16S ribosomal RNA". It matches the Rfam family "Bacterial small subunit ribosomal RNA", at positions 524 to 776 of the family's 1533-position model. The record is from RNAcentral.